Molecule: ribosomal RNA, 420 nt
Filed under: Fusobacteriota bacterium
Lineage: Bacteria; Fusobacteriati; Fusobacteriota
Description: Fusobacteria bacterium partial 16S ribosomal RNA
Rfam family: Bacterial small subunit ribosomal RNA
Source: RNAcentral
UGGGGGAUAUUGCACAAUGGGCGAAAGCCUGAUGCAGCGACGCCGCGUGGGGGAUGAAGGCCUUCGGGUUGUAAACUUCUUUUGCUCUGAACAAGGCAUGGCUUUGGGGUGUGUUGAGUGUAGGGGUUGAUUAGCGCCGGCUAACUACGUGCCAGCAGCCGCGGUAAUACGUAGGGCGCGAGCGUUGUCCGGAAUUAUUGGGCGUAAAGGGCUUGUAGGCGGUUUGUCGCGUCGAUAGUGCAAACUCAGUGCUUAACGCUGAGCCUGCUGUUGAUACGGGCAGACUAGAGGAAGGUAGGGGAGAAUGGAAUUCCCGGUGGAGCGGUGGAAUGCGCAGAUAUCGGGAGGAACACCGGUGGCGAAGGCGGUUCUCUGGGCCUUUCCUGACGCUGAGAAGCGAAAGCGUGGGGAGCGAACAGG